RNAcentral lists this ribosomal RNA (468 nucleotides) under uncultured bacterium. RNAcentral's name for it is "partial 16S ribosomal RNA". It matches the Rfam family "Bacterial small subunit ribosomal RNA", at positions 28 to 507 of the family's 1533-position model. The record is from RNAcentral.
GACGAACGCUGGCGGCGUGCUUAACACAUGCAAGUCGAACGGAAAGGCCCUGCUUUUGUGGGGUGCUCGAGUGGCGAACGGGUGAGUAACACGUGAGUAACCUGCCCUUGACUUUGGGAUAACUUCAGGAAACUGGGGCUAAUACCGGAUAGGAGCUCCUGCUGCAUGGUGGGGGUUGGAAAGUUUCGGCGGUUGGGGAUGGACUCGCGGCUUAUCAGCUUGUUGGUGGGGUAGUGGCUUACCAAGGCUUUGACGGGUAGCCGGCCUGAGAGGGUGACCGGCCACAUUGGUACUGAGAUACGGCGCAGACUCCUACGGGAGGCAGCAGUGGGGAAUAUUGCACAAUGGGCGGAAGCCUGAUGCAGCAACGCCGCGUGCGGGAUGACGGCCUUCGGGUUGUAAACCGCUGUCGCCUGUGACGAAGCGUGAGUGACGGUAAUGGGUAAAGAAGCACCGGCUAACUACGUG